GACGAACGCUGGCGGCGUGCUUAACACAUGCAAGUCGAGCGGGGAUACAAGGGAGCUUGCUCCUGAGUAUUCUAGCGGCGGACGGGUGAGUAACGCGUGAGCAACCUUUCUCUCAGUGGGGAAUAACACAGGGAAACUUGUACUAAUACCGCAUGAGACCGCAGAGUCGCAUGGCUUAGGGGUCAAGGAUUUAUCGCUGAGAGGUGGGCUCGCGUCCGAUUAGGUAGUUGGUGGGGUAACGGCCCACCAAGCCGACGAUCGGUAGCCGACCUGAGAGGGUGAUCGGCCACAUUGGGACUGAGACACGGCCCAA
This 313-nucleotide ribosomal RNA is filed under the name uncultured bacterium. RNAcentral's name for it is "bacterial SSU rRNA". It matches the Rfam family "Bacterial small subunit ribosomal RNA", at positions 28 to 334 of the family's 1533-position model. The record is from RNAcentral.